RNAcentral lists this ribosomal RNA (676 nucleotides) under uncultured bacterium. RNAcentral's name for it is "bacterial SSU rRNA". It matches the Rfam family "Bacterial small subunit ribosomal RNA", at positions 122 to 785 of the family's 1533-position model. The record is from RNAcentral.
UAACCUGCCCCUGUGCGGGGGAUAACAGGAGGAAACUCCUGCUAAUACCGCAUAGCCAUGAGCACCGCAUGGAGCUCAUGCCAAAUAUCCUUUCGGGGAUAGCGCAGGGAUGGACCUAUGGCGCAUUAGCUUGUUGGCGGGGCAACGGCCCACCAAGGCAACGAUGCGUAGCCGGCCUGAGAGGGCGGACGGCCACAUUGGGACUGAGACACGGCCCAGACUCCUACGGGAGGCAGCAGUAGGGAAUUUUCGGCAAUGGGGGAAACCCUGACCGAGCAACGCCGCGUGAGCGAAGAAGGCCUUCGGGUCGUAAAGCUCUGUUGUAAAGGAAGAACGGCGCAUACAGGAAAUGGUAUGCGAGUGACGGUACUUUACCAGAAAGCCACGGCUAACUACGUGCCAGCAGCCGCGGUAAUACGUAGGUGGCGAGCGUUAUCCGGAAUCAUUGGGCGUAAAGAGGGAGCAGGCGGCCGCAAGGGUCUGUGGUGAAAGACCGAAGCUAAACUUCGGUAAGCCAUGGAAACCGGGCGGCUAGAGUGCGGAAGAGGAUCGUGGAAUUCCAUGUGCAGCGGUGAAAUGCGUAGAUAUAUGGAGGAACACCAGUGGCGAAGGCGACGGUCUGGGCCGCAACUGACGCUCAUUCCCGAAAGCGUGGGGAGCAAAUAGGAUUAGAUAC